This 253-nucleotide ribosomal RNA is filed under the name uncultured bacterium. Its description in RNAcentral is "partial 16S ribosomal RNA". It matches the Rfam family "Bacterial small subunit ribosomal RNA", at positions 524 to 776 of the family's 1533-position model. The record is from RNAcentral.
CACGGAGGCCCCGAGCGUUGUUCGGAUUUACUGGGCGUAAAGGGUGCUUAGGCGGCGGGGUAAGUCAGAUGUGAAAGCCCGGGGCUCAACCUCGGAACUGCAUCCGAUACUGCCUUGCUAGAGGACUGGAGAGGAGUUUGGAAUUCACGGUGUAGCAGUGAAAUGCGUGGAUAUCGUGAGGAAGACCAAUGGCGAAGGCAGGGCUCUGGACAGAUCCUGACGCUGAGGCACGAAGGCCAGGGUAGCGAAAAGG